This is an unclassified non-coding RNA of Mus spicilegus (steppe mouse), 302 nucleotides long. Its record names the gene 7SK. It matches the Rfam family "7SK RNA". Rfam says of the family: 7SK was discovered as an abundant small nuclear RNA in the mid-70s but a possible function has only recently been suggested. Two independent studies have found that 7SK RNA binds the CDK9/cyclin T complex (known as elongation factor P-TEFb). The record is from Ensembl. NCBI's taxonomy places the organism in Eukaryota, Metazoa, Chordata, Mammalia, Rodentia, Muridae.
GUCUAUUUUGUUGCAACAUCUGGCAUUUCAUUGGUUCCCAUGGUUGAUUCAGUUGAGCUAGGGUUGGCUAGGCUGGUAUCCAUUUCCAUUUAAGUCCUUCCCUAAGCUGUGUGCUUGAUAAAAUAAUAUGAUUCUUUAAGAAGAGAAGAUGAUGGGGAUUCUAGAGGGCAUAUGAGUAGCUUAGAACCCCUUCUAGAACCCGCAAGGAAGUUUCUUAAUGGUUGUUUUACAAGAUAACAAAGGAAAUAAGAAUCCCUUGCUGUAGCAAUCAACACAUAGAUCCUUUUAGGAUGGUAGAAUUU